Molecule: long non-coding RNA, 686 nt
Filed under: Equus asinus (donkey)
Lineage: Eukaryota; Metazoa; Chordata; Mammalia; Perissodactyla; Equidae
Description: lncRNA (ENSEASG00005037269.1)
Source: RNAcentral
GUCUCAACCUUCCCACUUAUCAACAUUCACUUAUUUGAGUUGAUUAACCUAUUGUAUUUGUCCAGUCUCUCUCUUAGUGACAAAAACCCAACUCAAGCUUAAGAAAAAAGGGGGAGAACUGUUGAGCUCUGGCAAUUUAUAAAAGACUGAGGUUUCUGGUCACAGUGAAGGGUGGACCCAGAGACUCAACGCCAUCAGAACUUGGACUCUGCACGUCAGACCAGCUUGUCUCUGUGCUGGUUUCGUUCUCAGCAGUCAUUUCUACAAUGUGGAAAGGAGGCUGCUGGCCAUCCCAAGUGUGUUGGAGUAAUACCAAAUCAUGGCUAUGAAUAUUAAACUCCCAAAGAGCUGUACCUAUCAAGUCGUCCUCAAAGUGGUCCUUGCUAGAGACUGUGUUGUGCAUAAUUUAAUCUUGGGGUCCUGGGAAGAUGAUGAGAAAUCAAGGAAAAAAGUGAUUUCAGUGCACCUGAUCCCGAUAACAUUAUUCCAUUUUACCAUUGAGGAAAUUGUGACAUAGUGGGAUAAAAGUGCUCCACUAAAGUUAUAUAGUUAGUGUCAAAAAUUUAGGCUUCUGGACUUCUGUUUCUUAUGUAUUUCUAUCACUUCUAUUGCAUCACUGCCCAACAGAGUUUUCUGUGAUCAUGGCAAUGAUAAAAUAUUGAUGCUGUUCAAUAUGUAGUCACUAG